CCUUAAUUCAGUAAACAAGACCUGGCCUCAACUAUGGUGUCAAAUUCAGGCUGCAACAAUAGAACUCCCUAUGACGAAGAAAUGGGAUAUCACUUCCAAAGGGAGAUGAUUUGGCAACUGGAUCCAUCAGGUUCCAGGAUCCCUGGCUACAAUGAAGAACCUGGAAAUUUGCUUACCUUCUCU
Long non-coding RNA from Lemur catta (Ring-tailed lemur), 183 nucleotides. RefSeq lists it as uncharacterized. The record is from RefSeq and is a predicted model, not a curated record. The transcript is spliced from 3 exons. NCBI's taxonomy places the organism in Eukaryota, Metazoa, Chordata, Mammalia, Primates, Lemuridae.